CCUUGCCUUAUCUAGGGCAGAGGCAGCGGGGUGUGGCCAGGUGAGGGAAGGUGACUGCCUGUAGGUAUGCCAGUUGCCUAGGUAAUGCAGGUACUGGGCAGAGACCUCAGGCAGGAGCAUCUGCAUGGAACCAUCCCAGGGACCCACCUUACAAAGAAUACACCCUAAUGACUACAAUUAAUAACAAGAUAUUGUAUGCUUGAGAAUUGCCCAGAGAGUAGAUUUUAAAGUGUCUUACCACAAAAAAAGUGAGACACUGUGUACGUCAAAUGGCCUGCUUAGUCAUACAUCACACCAUAUUGUACAAAAUACAUACAAUUUUCACUCGUCAUUUAGAAAAGGAUGCCUAAAUCUAUCAUAAUAUCUUGCACUUCCUCACAUUCCAUGUCACCUCAGGGAGGUGAGAACAGAAGUAACAGUAGUAAAGAAGCGAGGAGAGAAGAGUGCCCCAUCUUGCACACACACUAGCCUCUCCAGCAAGAUCGUAGGACAUAGAGAAGAUUAAAAACCAUAGAAAUUUGAAGCAGAAGGCACUUUCUCAGCUAGGUGUGGUAGUAGCGCACACCAGUAAUCCCAGGAGUCGGAAGGUGGUAGCAGUACGAUCAUGAAUUGGAAGCAAGCCUGAGUUACAUAGCCCAUCUCAAAAAGAAAAAGAAAUUCUUCACACCAAACAUGUGCUUUACAGAUACUGUGCCAUGAGUUCUAGAAUUCACACAUACUGAUCAUUCCCUCUGCAACUCCCUCUAUCCUCACCCCCACCCCCGCGCAGCCUGGCAUCUCACUAAGUAGUCCUUCCCUUGCUCGCAGAAGCCUAUCAAUGCAGGAGAACUUCAGGACCUGCAGGUGGCAGGUUAAUAUGGAUGCUACACUCAAUCAUUCAUAGGGCAUGAUGUCACUGCUCAGAACAGCACCCCCCUUGUAAUCAGAGUCUUCUGCCUAUGACAGCCAUGCAGCCACACAGACCCCUCGUUAUUCCCAUUGUCUGCCCACAGCAAUUGCAGGAAUAGCAAGGAGAAUUAAGAAUUGGAUCGUGCCUUAAGACUCUAGCACAAGUGUCAAGACAGCAAACAAAUAGAUAUAAAUCACCAAAGUAAAACAAAGUGUAAGACACAGUAGCCAAUGUUCUCCGAAUAUACAGACCUUGAGCCAUAGAAAUUCAGAGCAAGGGGAAAGGUCCUAUAGGGAAAGGAAGAGUGGAGGGGAGGAUAAGAAAGACUAGAAGAAAGGGCUGGGAAUAUGGCCUAGUGGUAAAGUGCUUGCCUCAUAUACAUAAAGCCCUGGGUUCGAUUCCUCA
Long non-coding RNA from Perognathus longimembris pacificus (Pacific pocket mouse), 1294 nucleotides. RefSeq lists it as uncharacterized. The transcript is spliced from 3 exons. Lineage: Eukaryota; Metazoa; Chordata; Mammalia; Rodentia; Heteromyidae. The record is from RefSeq and is a predicted model, not a curated record.